CGGAUACAUAGACAUAUUAAUUGUCCCAUUCUGUUGAUUAGAAGUCUGACUAACUACUUGAAUGAAUAAAGCGUUCAGGGUCGUCGACAGUUAUUUUUUGAUGAACAUCAAACAUACACGACUAAGAAAGAUUUUCAAAGGCUACACGACUUAUAAGUCGAUAAUGUUUCAACCCAAUGUUUCAAAUAUGACUGAUUACAA
Long non-coding RNA from Drosophila willistoni, 201 nucleotides. RefSeq lists it as uncharacterized. NCBI's taxonomy places the organism in Eukaryota, Metazoa, Arthropoda, Insecta, Diptera, Drosophilidae. The transcript has 3 exons. The record is from RefSeq and is a predicted model, not a curated record.